UUGAGAGCCUGUGAGCACUGCAAGCACUUUGAUACUUUGCACCUCUUCAACGGAUGGUAGCUUCUUCAGAUGGCUGUCGCUGCUAUUUACAGUACCGGAGGGCUGGAGGAUGGGAUACUACUAGGAGUCCUCUAAUUGCUCGUCUAAUACUGGCUUUCAAACACCAUUUCUUGCUUCUUUCAGCAGAAAUAGGACUCCUCUCUCUCUAACAUACAGCAGCUAGACAAAGUUCCAGUUUCUUACCUGGACCUGGGAAACCAAGUCUCAUCAGAUCAUAUCAACAAUUGAGGAGAGGCUUGGUUUGGACAGGAAUCUACAAACCACUUCAUGCUGGGGAGUGGUGAGUACAGAAGGCUUCUGUUCUGUCUGAACAAGCUCAGCAGGAGGUUAAUGGGAUGGGUUAAUGUGCUAAUUGGAUCUUUCAGUGUUGGCUCAGUUGCCGGUGUGAGGACUCAUAUGGUGACAAGGAACUCACACAGAAUUUGGCCCCUUGGUCAGAGGUGGUCCUUCUCUGGCUCCAAACACAGUGGCACAUUACUUGGCUCCUGAACUUUUAUAGUGCACCCUGGAUUUCAGCCCAGAAGGCAACACUUGGCUGACCCCAGCAUCCCCUUAAAGGAAAAGUCUUGGUCUGAGCCACUGCUGCUGGGCUGCAAUAGUGACUCAAGUCACAGCUAACAUGAAAUGAGUGUAAUUUUUUGUGAAUUCCUUGGGCCCAACAGUGCCAGCUGGCUUCUGUGGGGAGAGUGCAAUGAUGCUCUUGGCACUGGCUUUCUUCAGUACAGAUACUGCAUGAGUAUAUGGGAAGAGAUAGCUGUCCACGGUGCCAGAAGUCCCUGGCACUGCUGCCACCAGUAAAUGAGUCUCACCGUGUAUUCUUGGGACAACUCCCUGACAAACAGGAGAAGAGGACACUGUGCUAUUAGAAUGCAGAUGAACUUUAAGAAGGAGGAAAAAAACCCAGCUUGGGUUUCCAUUAGGGCCUAGUUGCCCAAAUCUCCUUUCCUUGUGAUAUGAGCCAGCUAGAUUGCAUGCUAACCUCCAAGGGUCGGGUUUGCAUCCUGCGUCCCCAGUGCUUAUAUACCCUUCUCUCUCAAGGAUUCAGAUUAUCCCACUUCCCCUUUUCUACAGGACAAUGUACAUGCCGAUUUUACUGCAAAGAGAAAUCAGUAUCACAUUCCCUCCCUUGGUUGCAAGGGUUUCAGUGAUUUUGGCUCACUUUUCAGCUUGGACUGUUUAUUGUACCACAGGGGCAACUGGCUAUUUUAGUAUUUGAAUUCUGCUCCUUGCCAGCCCACAAGGUCACAUCCCUUAGUGAUUUCAAGUAGGGAUUUCAUGCUUGCUUCCUUGCACUGCUUUUGUACUUCUCUGUCCUUUCCAGAACCAGAGUAAAAAAUGUCAUUAUACUUCUUGCACUGUGCCCAGUUCAUUUGGGAAAGACUCAGCUGAAGUUAUUGGUGCUGUGCUGAUUUAUACUGCCUGAAGAUCUUUCCCAGUGUUCAUGUUGAGAAAUUAGUUGUAUUUUUUCCUCAGAAUGUGUCUGGCAACUGUCUGAAGGUUAAAAACAAUAACUAACCAAUAUAAAAGUCAAUUAUUUGAAUCAGAAACUUUGGGAGUUGGCUGCUUUCAUCUUCAGAGAAUUCUCUUGCCACUCACACAAAAAUGAAGAUUGAUGGAGACAUAGCAGAUGAACAAAUGAGAGACAUGUAACAAACUGAAUGCCACACCUGCAUUGUAUGAUCUUUACAUGAUGGACUAUUAUACACACUGUAUAUCUGAUGACAGGAGACGAAUAUUUCACUCUGGACUGGAAGCAAGGUGUCUGUCUCCAUUUCUGCUUGGAGAAAAGAAUUCCCUUUUCUGACGGAAACUUGUGAACCUAUGUUGUUUGCAAGCCUUAUGCAGACAAAAUAUUACACAACUGCAGAACAAGCUUAGGAGAAAAGCACUGUCACCCACUGUUUGAGCAAUCCUUUAAUAUUUCCUAGCCAGCUCACAGAAUUUAAAUUAUAUUCAUUAAGCAAAAUAUCAUGAAUUGGAAAAAAAAGAAAAAAGAAAAAACCCAACAGUGCUGGAGGCAAAGAAUGAGAGUCUGAGCUUGUUGUUUGAACAAGUUGAAGGACAGAUGCAAACGAAGUUAGAUCAAAAUCAUUAACAACUGACAGCUCAGUAUUCAGCUUUCAGUGUCUCUGCAUGUCAAACAAAUAUAUUUUAUUGGAUUUUUUUUAAGUUGAAAACUUGUGAAACAAGGCACUCCAUGUGGGGAAGCUUUAUGUGCCAAUCCUGCAGUCCAAGAAGCUGGUAUAAGAAGAGGGAGUUCCCACUUUUAUAUAGAAAAUCAUAGGGGUUAGGGUCACAAGUCAGUGGACCAAAGGAGGGAACAGGUAAAAGGUAAAGAAACGUCAACACAUAAAUAUACUCAGUGCCUUAGCUUCCCUUACCCCCCAACCUCUGGAAAUGUCCUCAAACCACCCUUUAGUCUCUAGAGCACUCAAACCGCAGCCUGCAGCAACCCCCAGUCUGAGUCCAGCUCCUUUAGCCCCCAGUCCUGGUGACCGAGCCAGUGAGAUCUCCAGCUUCACUGCGCGCUCCUCUGUGCGGGGCUGACCAGGCUCCACGUGCACCCUGCUUUCUCUUCCCCUUACUCCAGCCUCAAAGUUUCUUCUUCCUUUUCUCCUUGCCUCCCCAAGUCCCUGGGGGUUUCUGGGAUUGCAGUCCAAAUUAACAGUCAGAAUAGCUCUGCAGACUGUCCCCGGUUCCUCCUGCUGGUACAUGCGUUACAUUCACAUUACACUUGUUUACCUCCAGCAUGCUCAGUCUCUUUUUUGGCCACCAUCUGUUUUCAGAAGAGGGUUUGCAAGCUCUCUGCAAAUUGUGAAUAAGUAAUUAAAACACCAAAACCAACCAGCCCAUCAGCACAUUAAAGAGACACCCAAGAUAAAUUAUCCUUACUUUUAUCUUCUCCCUAAUUAAGCUUUAAAAUAUCACUAAUCCAUCAUAGUUGGUUAAAAGAAAAAAAGGCCCUUUUCCAGAGCAUUAUGUUUUGAUAAUCAGCUGAUCUGUUUUCUCUCCAUCUUCAGGGUCUAUCAAGUGCUAAGUUGUUGUUUAGGAACAUGGUUUUCUUCACAUAGACCGUGCACCAGGCUUCCCAAAGUGCCAUGUGUCAUCUGACAUUAGAAAUGAGAUGGGUUUUUUAUAAUCUGACAGCCUCCUUAGGGACCACCAUUAUAAAUGAGGCAGUUUUAGCCAGUACUCAAAACUUAAUACAUUUGCUAAUAAUAAAUAUAUUAAUGCCUUUAGUGCUUGAGAGAGAGGGGGAGACCUCAAGAUAUGAAGAUGGCUUAAUUACAAAGAAAUCACUUUUGAUGGAUGGUAACAUGCAGCCUGCACUUUAAAACCAACUAGGCAACUUGACCUGGAGGCUGUCAUUUACAGUGGAGUUUUUUUUCUUUGCCUCAGCAAUCUUGUAUGGGUUGUAUCACUUUGCUCAAACGCGCUCAUUAUCCCCCAUCUUCUGCAUCCUAUGAAACCUUCCCACUAAUCAAAGGUUUUAUAGGAAAAUGAAAGAUGCUUCUAGCCUACCAUUCUUCCAGUACAUUACUGUCAGCAUUGAAAUUCACCAUUGAGCAAGCAGUCAGCAUGAGGCCCCAACACUACUUAAAUCCUAUUUGAAGGGAUUAACUGGGAUUUAAGGCUAAGGUUUUCAUGGGAGUCUAAGGUUGUGACUACUCUGCAGUCACUGCUGGGGCUGCAGCAUAGAUCAGCUGUAUCAAAGCUAGCUUUAAACUAGCUGCUGUGGGUACCAGCAGUAACAGAGAUCAGCCUGGGCUGCGAGCCCUGCCUGAGAAGUAGGGUAACUAUGUGCACUGAGAUUCAUGUUGCUACAGCUAUACUGUUAGUGUACCCAAGCCAGCUGGCAGCCGCUUUGGCUCUGGUAUAGAUGUACCCUACAUUGAUUACAUUCCUGAAAUGCAUGGACUGAUGUUGAAUUUGGGUGUCUAACUCUGGUAGGGCCUUUAAAGGACUCAGCCAACAUGGCACCUUGGCUUUCUGCUGGUUUUGCUGCACCGCAAUCCAACAAGUCCUUUGAGGUGCUUCAUGCAAUACAACUAGCCCCCUGGUGCAACACGGCAUAUCAAUGACACCAACCUUUUGGAAGAGUUUACAUCACUGACAGCACAAGCACUCAGGAUUAUCCAGGCAUAUGGACUCCCUUGCACUGGCUUGUUACCUUUCUGCAAACCUCUGUGCCUGUAUGCAAGCAAUGCUGACUGUGAUCAUACCCCCAGGAUGCAUUUCCCCAUAGCAGACUCAUCUGGCAUAAUAAAGGACAGUGGGACAUGGUUCUCUUUUUCCUCCUCCGGUGUUAAGGUUACACAUUUUUUCUCAGGUUUACAUUGUGGCUCUUUGAGCAGGCAAAGCCCAGUGGACUUGCUUGCUUGGACCCUGGGGAUCUGCUUGGACUUGCUUAGACCCUGGGAAUCUGCUUAGGUACCAGAUUACUGCUAUCUUGAUCUCUAAUUCAACAGAAAAUCCAGCAUGCACAUAAGUGUUCUACCAAAUCAUUCACUAAGUGCUGUAGCCAGCAGGCCUCUCAUCCUCAUCCUUCUUAGAGGGACACCGCAUGUGAUUUCAUAUUUAUUGAUAUAUUAUACACUACACAUGUUUGUUGGUACAGGCAGGACAAAGCAGCAUGCUUUGCACUUGGAUUGAAAAGUGGCUAUUGUUAGACCAUUAUGACCAUAUAUUUCAACAUUACGUAUUGAUAUACUGUGUUCUAGAGGAACAGGUGCAGUUAUUUUCUGGAAAGGUAUAUCAUGGCAGUUCCUUUUGGAGUGCUACUAACUGUGACUUUGUGGCUUUUUCCAUAUUGAUUUUAACUUUAUCUAAAAGGAAAAGAAAAAAAAUCGUUCAAAUAUUCACUCCCUUUUGAAACAUAGAACUCCUUGUGGUCUAUGCUAUCAUGGACUAAUACAGACCCUGAAAAGUUGCUACCUUUGAAAACUGAUCACCCAAACUUAAAAUGCAUCUGAGAACUAACAAACAGGGUACAUCUACAUGAGAUUUGUUACUGCACAUUAGCACAGUUUACUGCAUAGUAAGCAUGCAUGUCUAAGCGGGAUUAGUUACUGCACAGUAGUGCAUGUGUAGAUGUGACCUGGGAGCAAAUUUGUUUUUGCUCCCUCAGCUAUAAAAGCCUGAAGACAUUCUGUGCCCUGGGGGACACAACACAGACAGCCCUGGGCACUGCAGGCCAUGUGUGUCCCUUUGAACAGGCCAAAGUCUAUAUGUGCCUGCCUGCCAGCACCCCAGCGCUGCUGCUUGGCACUGCACUGCUGUGUGUGGCUGCCAGGGCAGUGCCGUCAGGGCUGGUUGGGUGCUAAAGGGUGCUGAAAGCUUCUGCAGCCCCUGGUCAGCCCUGUCAGUCUUCCAGGGCCACCUGCAGGCAGCUUCUGGGCAGCAGAACCAGCCCCACCUGCCUGUAGCACACCUCCAGCAGCCUGCCCUGCACCUGCAGGUGCUGUGGGACAUUGCCUCUGCCACGCAGCUGCCAAUCCCAUGCUGUGCCCCUGUGCUGCUGGGUGCUGCUGGCAGCUGCCUAGGGCCCACAACACUGGAACAGCUGUGCAGAGGCCCAGAGAGCUGACGCAGGACCCAGCAUGGCAGUCCACAUGCCUGUGCCCUCCACCCAGGGCCCCAACUGAAGCCAGGAGGAUACUGGUGACCUUGUGGUGCUCUGGUGUGGGCAGAGGUGUUGCACCAUUUUGAGCAGGGCAGGUGUUCCAAUGCCCACAUUUAUGAGCCCCUAUCAGGCCAGAUGAGGGAGUGAAAGCAUGACUGGUUGGUGCAGUAAUGAUACAUAAAGGUCAAGGCUUUGGGGGCACAGUGGGUCAUCAUGACCAACCAUAAUCGUCAGUCCAGCCGUGCUCACAAGACCAUGCCCUUUAUGUGGCAACUGAUGGCCAUUCUGAUGCCUGGGACCCAGGCCACAGCCAUGCAGUUUACACCAGAACCCCUGCCCUGGCCUGGCACCUCUGGUGAAAUGUCAGGGGAGGAGGGACCCGUGGGUGUGCAGGGGCCUGUCCCACCCAGAUCCCUGUCUGCAGUUUCCACCAGCAGCUCAGGGAGCUCUGGCCAGUACCUGCCUUGCCAGCUGCAUAGACCCAGGGCCAAACAUGAGGUGUGGCUGGCCAUGACGCUGCCAGCAGUGCCAGGUUCUCCCUGGGGGGGAGCCCCUGGCUGGGUGCCUACAUGGUGCACCCUACAGGCCAGUAAACAGGAGGAAUUGGCACUCCUUCUGGCUGAUGAGGAAUUCGACUUGAUUAGGUUGACAGAGACUUGGUGGGAUGAUACACAUGACUGGGCAGUGAAUACUGAAGGUUACAGGCUUUAUAGGAAGGAUCAGAUUGGGAAGAAGGGAGAAGGAGUGGCCCUCUACAUGAAAGAGCAGUACCCCCUCCCUGCAAGUCAUGUUUGACAACAGGGAAGGUUCCCUUGAGACCCUCUGGGUCAGGCUACAAGGGGGACCAGCACAGGGAGACCUGAUGGUGGGAGUCUACUACAAGCCCAAGAGGAAGAAAGUGAUUGAGCAUUCUCAGGAGAACUGACAGAGGCAGCUAGCACUUGAGACAUGAUUGUCAUGGGUGAUUUUAACUACCCAGACAUCUAUUGGAAAGACCAUUCAGCCGCCUCCAACAAGUCAGCCAACUUCUUGGCAACAACAGAUGAUCUGUUUCUGACACAGGCUGUGGAAGGGCCUACUAGGGGAAAAGCCACUCUGGAUUUAGUGUUGACUAAACGGGAGGACAUCAUAGGCGACCUGAGGAUUGGUGGUACCCUGGGCAACAGUAACACAACCUGAUAAGGUUCACCAUCCACCGUAAGACUGGGAAGUUAGUCACCAGAACAGAAGUCCUAAAUUUCAAGACGGCAGAUUUUGACAAACUCAAGAGGCUCAUUGGAGAGGCCUUCUGCAAUGGGCAACUGAAUGAUUUGGGAGUGCAGAAACGAUGGUGCUUCCUUGAGGAGGCAAUUCUCACAACUCAAAAACAGGCCAUUCCCAUGCAGGCAAAAAGCUGGAAAGGAGACAGGAGACCUGCUUGGCUCACCAGGGAUAUUAGGGACCUAUUGAAAAAGAAAAAAUAAGUAUAUAUACAAUGGAGGAAUGGUACAGCAACCAGGGAGGAAUAUACCUGUAUUGCCAGGGCCUGCAGAUACAAGACAUGGAAAGCUAAGGCAGGCAUGGAGAUCAAACUGGGCAACUGGUAUAAAAGACAACAAAAAGUCCUUCUAUGGAUACAUAGGGAGCAACAAAAAAUCAGGCUGCACUCUGGGACCCAUUCUGGACACCCAGGGGCAGCCCACAGUCAAUGCUUACAAAAAGGCAGAGCUCCUAAAUACAUACUUUGGUAUUCCUGAAAUCCAGCAGGGCUGCUCAGCUGGACAGAGGCCCAGGGAAUAGGGGGACGGCAACAGCCUACAUGAAAUCAGCCCAGAACUGGUGAGGGAUCUUCUACAAUGCUUUGACAUUUUCAAGUCUGCUGGGCCAGACAACCUGCAUGCGAGAGUCCUGAAAGAACUGGUCAAACUUAUAGCAGCACCACUAGCCAAGCUGUUUGAAGAGUCAUAGAACUCAGGAGUGGUCCUGGAAGAGGGCCAGUGUUGUGCCCAUCUUUAAAAAAGGGAAGAAGGAUGACCCUGCAAACUACAGACUGGUCAGUCUGAUCUCAGUCCUGGGUAAAAUUUUUGAAAAGUUGCUUAAGGAGGCCAUCAACUACAAGCUGAUAACAGGUGGGAUGCUAAAAGGCAACCAGCUUGGCUUUGUCAAGGCUAGAUCAUACUUGAUGAAUCUUGUGUCCUACAGCCAGGUAACUAACCACCUGGCUGAGGGACAUGAGGUUGAUGUCAUCUACUUAGACUUCAGUAAAGCCUUUGACUCUGUCUCCCACAGGAUUCUCUCUAACAAACUGGAGAGUACCAGGCUGGACCAGUCUACAGUGAGGUGGGUGGACAACUGGCUUAGCUGCUGCUUCCAGAGAGUGGUGAUCAAUGAGAUGGCCUCAUACUGGAGGGCCAUCUCCAGUGGUGUCCCCCAGGGAUCGGUGCUUGGACCUGUGCUAUUUAAUAUAUUAAUUAAUUACUUGGAUGAGGGGGUGAUAAGCUCAAUGAUUAAGGUCGUGGAUGAUACCAAGCUGUGCGGAAAUGUGGGCAAACCAGAGGAUAGGGCAAAGAUCCAGGAUGACCUUGACAGACUGAAAUGGGCAGAAUGAAAUCAGAUGAGGUUUAACAGGGAAAAGUGCAAGGUCCUUUUCCUGGGCAGGAAAAUUCCUCACCACAACUACACAAUGGGUGAUGAUCCACUGGCUGGCACAUCAUUUAAAUCGAGACCUGGGGGUCACGAUUGACUGGAAGAUGAAUAUGAGCCAACAGUGUGAUGAGGCUUCCAGAAAGGCAAAUAAAACUCUGGCAUGCAUCAGCCGAUGUGUAGCCAAUAAAUCCAGGGAGGUACUGGGCCUGUUCAGUCUGAGUAAGAGAAGGCUGAGAGGUAAGAUGAUAGCUGCCUACAAGUACAUAAGGGGGAGCAUCAAGAACUAGGAGAGCAACUAUUCAGGAUGGCACCUCAAGGGAGGAAGAGGACCAAUAGACAUAAACUAAUAGAGGGUAAAUUCAGGAUGGACACAAGGAAAAACUUCUUCUCUGUAAGAGUCACCAGAAUCUGAAACACACUCCCAGCAGAGGUGGUGCAGUCACCCUCCUUGGAGGUGUUCAAGAUGAGGCUAUGGCUACACCAGGGGCCGGGGCUCUCCCUUGUGGGAGUGGGGAGUAGGGAGCAGGGCACCCGGCUGAGGCAGAGGUGGCAGUGGAUCCUGGGAAGGUAAUUGGGGGGUGAAGGCAGGGAGGACCUGGCACAGAUGUGGAGGAUCCGGAGGGGCAUCCCCUUGGAGCCCUCUCAACUGAGCCAGCAUAGAGCCGCACUCCCAAGCCAUGCACAAACAGAGCAUGUAAAUAGGCGCACCCUGUAAGGGCACACUGGCGUUUGCGCUGGCAUUUGCACAGGCAGGUAAGCAGGAGGAGCCAGGAGGAAGUUUUCAGCAACGGAAAAAAGAAGGCACCACACACUACAGCAAUGGUAAGGACGUGGAGUGCUGCUAUGGACCCUGCCCAGGGGGCGUUGCCUACCCGGGGCUUCUCUGAGGCCUCCACCCAGAUGGGACCCAUGGGGGAGCUGGCAACACCCUGCCCCCCUGCUUGUGGGGGUUGCCCUGCAUGGCUGGGGGGGCAGGAAGCGGGGGACCCUCAACCUGUCCCACAUGUGCCUUCUUCAGGCCUUGGAGGGGCAGGUGAGGGAGCUGCAGGUAGAGGCUAGCAGGCUGAGGGGGAUCAGGGAUGUAGAGGAUGAAACUGAUGGGUAUUUCCGUUCUCUGCAGACCCAAGCUCCAAAUGGAGAAGCACCCCAGGAGGUGCUCUCCACAGUGGAAUAGCAGAAGGUUCCCUCCAGAGCCAGGGCUGCUUGCAGCAGCACAGUAUCAGCUCCCCCAGUCCAGCUGGGGAACAGGUAUGAGGCCCUGGCAAUAUUGGAGGAAGAGGAAGGAGAGGAGGAAACACUUGGAGAGGAGACCACUCCACGCACAGCACAGACUGAAGGAGGCCAGAACACCCAAAAGAAGAGAUGCUGGGUGCUCGUCAUAGGUGACUCCAUUCUGAGACGGAUGGAGGAGCCCAUCUGUUGCCCUGAUUCCAUAACACGUGAGGUCUCCUGUCUGCCCGGAGCUCAGAUUCAGGACAUGACAGAGAUGCUCCUGGACCUUAUCUGGCCCACUGAUUAUUACCCUAUGGUCCUAUUCCAUGUGGGCACUAACGAUGCAGCCGGGAACAGUCCAGAUCACCUCAUGAAGGAUUACAAGGUUCUGGGGGCCAAGCUGAAGUAAACAGGGGCACAGGCGGUCUUCUCAUCUGUUCUCCCAGUGAGCAGAUGUGGACGAUGCCAUGAGACCUGCAUUAGGGAGGUCAACUUGUGGCUCUGGAACUGGUGUUAUGAGGUUGGCUGAUCUCCUCCAGCGGGCUUUAAACUAGGUUCGUUGGGGGAAGGGGAGGACGAGGAUGGAGGGAUCCAUGGAACACUGAACCAUGAGAUACCCACAAGAUCAGCCCAGGAACCUAGACGAACCCUCAAUAUGCAUCACGGACACCAACAAGGGGAACAUAAGCUGACCAACUGUCAGUGCCAACACAGUAAAAAGACACUUGGAGGGACUGGAUGUGUUCAAAUCUCCAGGACCAGAGGGACUCCAUCCAUGGGUAUUGAAAGAAUUAGUGAAUGUCAUAGCUGAACCACUGGCAAGGAUAUAUGAGCAAUCAUGGUGCUCAGGUCAGGUCCUGGAGGACUGGAAGAGGGCCAGUGUCGCCCCAAUCUUUAAGAAGGGGAGGAAAGAGGAUCCGGGGAACUAUAGACCAGUCAGCCUUACCUCUAUCCCUGGGAAAAUCCUAGAAAAAAUUAUCAAGGAACACAUCUAUGGGAGCCCACUGGCUAAUGCGAUGUGGAGGGGUAACCAACAUGGGUUUAUAACAAGCAGGUCCUGCCUGACUAACCUAGUUUAUUUUUACGAUAAGACCACCAAAUGUUUAGAUGCAGGAGUCGAGGCGGAUGUUAUCUAUCUGGACUUCAAGACGGCCUUUGACACAGUAUCCCAUACCAUCCUUAUAAAUAAACUUAGGAGAUUUGCCUUG
This is a long non-coding RNA of Alligator mississippiensis (American alligator), 10728 nucleotides long. RefSeq lists it as uncharacterized. NCBI's taxonomy places the organism in Eukaryota, Metazoa, Chordata, Crocodylia, Alligatoridae. The record is from RefSeq and is a predicted model, not a curated record. The transcript is spliced from 5 exons.